RNAcentral lists this ribosomal RNA (577 nucleotides) under uncultured bacterium. Its description in RNAcentral is "bacterial SSU rRNA". It matches the Rfam family "Bacterial small subunit ribosomal RNA", at positions 102 to 694 of the family's 1533-position model. The record is from RNAcentral.
ACGGGUGAGUAACACGUGGGUAACCUGCCCUCCACUCUGGGAUAACUCCGGGAAACCGGGGCUAAUACCGGAUACGACCUGAGGCGGCAUCGCCUCGGGUGGAAAGUUUUUCGGUGGAGGAUGGACCCGCGGCCAAUCAGCUUGUUGGUGGGGUAAUGGCCUACCAAGGCGAUGACGGGUAGCCGGCCUGAGAGGGCGACCGGCCACACUGGGACUGAGACACGGCCCAGACUCCUACGGGAGGCAGCAGUGGGGAAUAUUGCACAAUGGGCGAAAGCCUGAUGCAGCGACGCCGCGUGAGGGAUGACGGCCUUCGGGUUGUAAACCUCUUUCAGCAGGGACGAAGCGCAAGUGACUGUACCUGCAGAAGAAGCACCGGCUAACUACGUGCCAGCAGCCGCGGUAAUACGUAGGGUGCGAGCGUUGUCCGGAAUUAUUGGGCGUAAAGAGCUUGUAGGUGGCUCGUUGCGUCGGGAGUGAAAACCUGCGGCUUAACCGCAGGCCUGCUUCCGAUACGGGCGAGCUAGAGUUCGGCAGGGGAGACUGGAAUUCCUGGUGUAGCGGUGGAAUGCGCAGA